RNAcentral lists this unclassified non-coding RNA (144 nucleotides) under uncultured Ascomycota. Its description in RNAcentral is "sequence contains ITS1". The record is from RNAcentral. Lineage: Eukaryota; Fungi; Ascomycota.
CUGAGUGAGGGCCUUCGGGCUCGACCUCCCACCCUUUGUUGUCCGACCGCGUUGCUUCGGGGUCGCCGUCUCUGGCGGCGCCCCGGAAGACCGUCCAAACUCUUGCAUCUCUGCGUCUGAGUCUUGUUAUUCUAAAUGACAUGA